RNAcentral lists this ribosomal RNA (452 nucleotides) under uncultured Variovorax sp. RNAcentral's name for it is "bacterial SSU rRNA". It matches the Rfam family "Bacterial small subunit ribosomal RNA", at positions 923 to 1382 of the family's 1533-position model. The record is from RNAcentral. Lineage: Bacteria; Pseudomonadati; Pseudomonadota; Betaproteobacteria; Burkholderiales; Comamonadaceae.
GCACAAGCGGUGGAUGAUGUGGUUUAAUUCGAUGCAACGCGAAAACCUUACCCACCUUUGACAUGUACGGAAUCCUUUAGAGAUAGAGGAGUGCUCGAAAGAGAGCCGUAACACAGGUGCUGCAUGGCUGUCGUCAGCUCGUGUCGUGAGAUGUUGGGUUAAGUCCCGCAACGAGCGCAACCCUUGUCAUUAGUUGCUACGAAAGGGCACUCUAAUGAGACUGCCGGUGACAAACCGGAGGAAGUGGGAUGACGUCAAAUCAUCAUGCCCCUUAUGUUCUGGGCUACACACGUGCUACAAUGGCCGGUACAGACGGACGCAAAGCCGCGAGGUGGAGCAAAUCCUAAAAAGCCGGUCUCAGUUCGGAUUGCAGGCUGCAAUUCGCCUGCAUGAAGUCGGAAUCGCUAGUAAUCGCAGGUCAGCAUACUGCGGUGAAUACGUUCCCGGGCCUU